RNAcentral lists this ribosomal RNA (279 nucleotides) under uncultured bacterium. RNAcentral describes it as "partial 16S ribosomal RNA". It matches the Rfam family "Bacterial small subunit ribosomal RNA", at positions 506 to 784 of the family's 1533-position model. The record is from RNAcentral.
UGCCAGCAUCCGCGGUACUACUAAUUGACCUAGCGUAGUUCGGAAUUACUGGGCUUAAAGAGUUCGUAGGUGGUUGAAAAAGUUGGUGGUGAAAUCCCAGAGCUUAACUCUGGAACUGCCAUCAAAACUUUUCAGCUAGAGUAUGAUAGAGGAAAGCAGAAUUUCUAGUGUAGAGGUGAAAUUCGUAGAUAUUAGAAAGAAUACCAAUUGCGAAGGCAGCUUUCUGGAUCAUUACUGACACUGAGGAACGAAAGCAGGGGUAGCGAAGAGGAUUAGAUA